GACGAACGCUGGCGGCGUGCUUAACACAUGCAAGUCGAACGGAAAGGCCUCUUUCGGGGGGUACUCGAGUGGCGAACGGGUGAGUAACACGUGAGUAACCUGCCCAUGUCUUUGGGAUAACUUCCGGAAACAGGGGCUAAUACCGGAUAGGAGCUACUGCUGCACGGAGGGGGCUGGAAAGUAUCGGCGGCUGGGGGUGGAUUCGCGGCGUAUCAGCUUGUUGGUGGGGUAGUGGCUUACCAAGGCCUUGCCGAGUAGACGGCCUGUGAGCGUGAUCGGCCGCAUUGGGACUGAGAGGCGGCCGAGACACCGACGGGAGGCAACAGUGGGGAAGAUUGCACAAGGAGUGGAGGCCGGAUGCAGCAGCUCCGUGGGCGGGAUGACGGCCUUCGGGUGGAAAACCGCAUUCGCUCAUAACGAAGCUUUGUGUGACGGUAGUGAGUAAAGAAGCACCGGCUAACUACGUG
This 467-nucleotide ribosomal RNA is filed under the name uncultured bacterium. Its description in RNAcentral is "partial 16S ribosomal RNA". It matches the Rfam family "Bacterial small subunit ribosomal RNA", at positions 28 to 507 of the family's 1533-position model. The record is from RNAcentral.